GACGAACGCUGUCGGCGUGCUUAACACAUGCAAGUCGAACGGAAAGGCCCUGCUUUUGUGGGGUGCUCGAGUGGCGAACGGGUGAGUAACACGUGAGUAACCUGCCCUUGACUUUGGGAUAACUUCAGGAAACUGGGGCUAAUACCGGAUAGGAGCUCCUGCUGCAUGGUGGGGGUUGGAAAGUUUCGGCGGUUGGGGAUGGACUCGCGGCUUAUCAGCUUGUUGGUGGGGUAGUGGCUUACCAAGGCUUUGACGGGUAGCCGGCCUGAGAGGGUGACCGGCCACAUUGGGACUGAGAUACGGCCCAGACUCCUACGGGAGGCAGCAGUGGGGAAUAUUGCACAAUGGGCGGAAGCCUGAUGCAGCAACGCCGCGUGCGGGAUGACAGCCUUCGGGUUGUAAACCGCUUUCGCCUGUGACGAAGCGUGAGUGACGGUAAUGGGUAAAGAAGCACCGGCUAACUACGUGCCAGCAGCCGCGGUGAUACGUAGGGUGCGAGCGUUGUCCGGAUUUAUUGGGCGUAAAGGGCUCGUAGGUGGUUGAUCGCGUCGGAAGUGUAAUCUUGGGGCUUAACCCUGAGCGUGCUUUCGAUACGGGUUGACUUGAGGAAGGUAGGGGAGAAUGGAAUUCCUGGUGGAGCGGUGGAAUGCGCAGAUAUCAGGAGGAACACCAGUGGCGAAGGCGGUUCUCUGGGCCUUUCCUGACGCUGAGGAGCGAAAGCGUGGGGAGCGAACAGGCUUAGAUACCCUGGUAGUCCACGCUGUAAACGGUGGGUACUAGGUGUGGGGUCCAUUCCACGGGUUCCGUGCCGUAGCUAACGCUUUAAGUACCCCGCCUGGGGAGUACGGCCGCAAGGCUAAAACUCAAAGGAAUUGACGGGGCCCCGCACAAGCGGCGGAGCAUGCGGAUUAAUUCGAUGCAACGCGUAGAACCUUACCUGGGUUUGACAUGGAUCGGGAGUGCUCAGAGAUGGGUGUGCCUCUUUUGGGGUCGGUUCACAGGUGGUGCAUGGCUGUCGUCAGCUCGUGUCGUGAGAUGUUGGGUUAAGUCCCGCAACGAGCGCAACCCUUGUUCACUGUUGCCAGCACGUUAUGGUGGGGACUCAGUGGAGACCGCCGGGGUAAACUCGGAGGAAGGUGGGGAUGACGUCAAGUCAUCAUGCCCCUUAUGUCCAGGGCUUCACGCAUGCUACAAUGGCUGGUACAGAGAGUGGCGAGCCUGUGAGGGUGAGCGAAUCUCGGAAAGCCGGUCUCAGUUCGGAUUGGGGUCUGCAACUCGACCUCAUGAAGUCGGAGUCGCUAGUAAUCGCAGAUCAGCAACGCUGCGGUGAAUACGUUCCCGGGGCU
RNAcentral lists this ribosomal RNA (1346 nucleotides) under uncultured bacterium. RNAcentral describes it as "partial 16S ribosomal RNA". It matches the Rfam family "Bacterial small subunit ribosomal RNA", at positions 28 to 1381 of the family's 1533-position model. The record is from RNAcentral.